CGUAACAAGGUUUCCGUAGGUGAACCUGCGGAAGGAUCAUUAACGAGUUGAACGGGGUUGUAGCUGGCCUUCACAGGCAUGUGCACACCUCACUCAUCCACUCUACACCUGUGCACUUACUGUGGGUUUCGAGAGGCCGCGCUUGCGUGGUUGAUCGGGCUCACGUCUAUUACAAACUCUUCAGUAUCAGAAUGUGUAUCGCGAUGUAACGCAUCUAUAUACAACUUUCAGCAACGGAUCUCUUGGCUCUCGCAUCGAUGAAGAACGCAGCGAAAUGCGAUAAGUAAUGUGAAUUGCAGAAUUCAGUGAAUCAUCGAAUCUUUGAACGCACCUUGCGCUCCUUGGUAUUCCGAGGAGCAUGCCUGUUUGAGUGUCGUGUAAUUCUCAACCUAUAAAUCCUUGUGGUUUUUAGGCUUGGACUUGGAGGCUUUUGCUGGCUUUACCGUCGGCUCCUCUUAAAUGCAUUAGCUUGAUUCCUUGCGGAUCGGCUCUCAGUGUGAUAAUUAUCUGCGCUGUGACCGUGAAGCGUUUGGUGAGCUUCUAACCGUCUCUUUGAGACAAACACUUUGACAUCUGACCUCAAAUC
Molecule: ribosomal RNA, 586 nt
Filed under: Porogramme sp. AX99
Lineage: Eukaryota; Fungi; Basidiomycota; Agaricomycetes; Polyporales; Polyporaceae
Description: eukaryotic LSU rRNA
Rfam family: 5.8S ribosomal RNA (bases 223-376)
Source: RNAcentral